Molecule: long non-coding RNA, 5215 nt
Filed under: Carica papaya (papaya)
Lineage: Eukaryota; Viridiplantae; Streptophyta; Magnoliopsida; Brassicales; Caricaceae
Source: RNAcentral
UCGAUAUUAGAACGAGAAGGAGAGAUGCAGAGUGCACGCACAAGGAAAAAAAUGACGGGAGGGGGGAUGGAGGGAGAAAAAGUGUAUGUAUUUGCAGCGCAGAAUGAAGCAUGAGCAAUCAUACCAGCACCAAUGCAACGGAUUCUAUCAGAACUCCGCAAGUUAAGGGUGCUUGGGCGAGAGUAGCACUAGGAUGGGUGACCUCCUGCGAAGUCCUUAUAUUUCACCCUUUUUCUUAGGAAGUCCUCGUGUUGCACACAUUUUUUUACAGAUGAUUCUUUCGACGAUACGCGCGACUUGAAUUAUGGUCCUCAGGUUUAUUCGCAAAUGUGAGUCACGGCACCGUAGCAUUUUACUUGAUAUUAGAACGAGCACGGGAGGUGCAGUGCGCACGCACAAGGAAACAAAUGACGGGAGGGGGAAGAAAGGAGAAGGAGUUUAUGUAUUUGCAGCGCUAAAUUAAACGGGUGCGAUCAUAUCAGCACUAAUGCACUUGAUCCCAUCAGAACUCCGCAGUUAAGUGUGCUUGGGCGAGAGUAGUACUCGGAUAGGUGACCUCCUGGGAAGUUCUCGUGUCGCAACAAUUUUUUUUCAGACGGGUCGUUCGACGUUACGCGCGACUGGAACUAGGGUCCGCUGGUUUAUACUCAAAUGUGAGUUAAGAUGCAGGGGCAUUUUAAUCGAUAUUAGAACGAGAAUGAGAGGUGCAGUGUGAACGCACAAGGAAACAAUUGACGGGAGGUGGAAUAAAGGAGAAGGAGUGUAUGUAUUUGCAGUGCGAAAUUAAACAGGUGCGAUCAUACCAGCACUAAAGCCCCGGAUCCCAUCAGAACUCCGCAGUUGUGUGCUUGGGCGAGAGUAGUACUCGGAUGGGUUACCUACUGCGAAGUCCAUAUAUUUCACCCAUUUUCUUGGGAGGUCCUCGUGUUGCACCCAUCUUUUUGCAGAUGAUUCUUUCGAGGUUACUCGCGACUUGAUUUAUGGUUCGCAGGUUUAUUCGUAAAUGUGAGUCACGGCGCCGUGACAUUUUACUUGAUAUUAGAACGAGUAUGGGAGGUGCAGUGCGCACGCACAAGGAAACAAAUGACGGGGGGUGGAAGAAAAGAGAAGGAGUGUAUCUAUUUGAAGCGCAAAAUUAAUCAAGUGGCAUCAUACCAGCACUAAUGCACUGGAUCCCAUCAGAACUCUGCAGUUAAGUGUGCUUGGUCGAGAGUAGUACUCGGAUGGGUGACCUCCUGGGAAGUCCUUGUGUCGCACUAAUUUUUUUUUUCAGACGGGUCGUUCGACGUUACGCGCGACUUGAUACGCGUAACUUGAAUUUUGGUCCUCAGGUUUAUUCACAAAUGUGCGUCUCGGCACCGUACCAUUUUACUUGAUAUUAGAACGAGCACGGGAGGUGCAAUGCGCAUGCACAAGGAAACAAAUGACGGGAGGGGGAAGAAAGGAGAAGGAGUUUAUAUAUUUGCAGCGCGAAAUUAAAAUGGUGUGAUCAUACCAGCACUAAUGCACCGGAUCCCAUCAGAACUCCGGAGUUAAGUGUGCUUGGGCGAGAGUAGUACUCGGAUGGGUGACCUCCUAGGAAGUUCUCGUGUCGCACCAAUUUUUUUUCAGACGGGUCGUUCGACGUUACGCGCGACUGGAACUAGGGUCCGCUGCUUUAUACGCAAAUGUGAGUCAAGAAGCAGGGGCAUUUUAAUCGAUAUUAGAACGAGAAGGAGAGGUGCAGUGUGAACGCACAAGGAAACAAUUGAUGGGAGGGGGAGGGAAGGAGAAGGAGUGUAUGUAUUUUCAGCACGAAAUGAAACAGGUGCGAUCAUAUCAGCACUAAUGGAACGGAUUCUAUCAGAACUCCGUAGGUAAGGGUGCUUGGGCGAGAGUAGUACUUGCAUGGGUUUCCUCCUGCGAAGUCCUUAUAUUUCACCCAUUUUCUUGUGAAGUUCUCGUGUUGCACCCAUUUUCUUUUCUUUAGAUGUGUCGUUCGACGUUACGCGCGACUUUAAUUAUGGUUCGCAGAUUUAUUCGCAAAUGUGAGUCACGGCUCCGUGGCAUUUUACUUGAUAUUUGAACGAGAACGAGUAGUGCAGUGCGCACGCACAAGGAAACAAAUGACUUGAGGGGGAAGAAAGGAGAAGGAGUUUAUGUAUUUGCAGCGCGGAAUUAAACAGGUGCGAUCAUACCAGCACUAAUGCACCGGAUCCCAUCAAAACUCCGCAGUUAAGUGUGCUUGGGCGAGAUUAGUACUCGGAUUGGUGACCUCCUGGAAAGUCCUCGUGUCGCACUAAUUUCUUUUCAGACGGGUCGUUCGACGUUACGCGCGACUGGAACUAGGGUCCGCUGGUUUAUACGCAAAUGUGAGUCAAGAAGCAGGGGCAUUUUAAUCGAUAUUAGAACGAGAAGGAGAGAUGCAGAGUGCACACACAAGGAAACAAAUGACGGAAGGGGGGAUGGAGGGAGAAAAAAUGUAUGUAUUUGCAGCGCAGAAUGAAACAUGAGCAAUCAUACCAGCACCAAUGCAACAUAUUCUUUCAGAACUCUGCAAGUUAAGGGUGCUUGGGCGAGAGUAGCACUAGGAUGGGUGACCUCCUGCGAAGUCCUUAUAUUUCACCCAUUUUCUUAGGAAGUCCUCGUGUUGCACCCAUUUUUUUGCAGAUGAUUCUUUCGACGAUACGCGCGACUUGAAUUAUGGUCCUCAGGUUUAUUCGCAAAUGUGAGUCACGGCACCGUAGUAUUUUACUUGAUAUUAGAACGAGCACGGGCGGUGCAGUGCGCACGCACAAGGAAAGAAAUGACGGGAGGGGGAAGAAAGGGGAAUGAGUUUAUGUAUUUGCAGCGCGAAAUUAAACAGGUGCGAUCAUACCAGCACAAAUGCACCGGAUCCCUUCAGAACUCCGCAGUUAAGUGUGCUUGGGCGAGAUUAGUACUCAGAUGGGUGACCUCCUGGAAAGUCCUCGUGUCGCACCAAUUUUUUUUCAGACGGGUCGUUCGACGUUACGCGAGUCUGGAACUAGGGUCCGCUGGUUUAUACGCAAAUGUGAAUCAAGAAGCAGGGGCAUUUUAAUCGAUAUUAGAACGAGAAGAAGAGAUGAAGUGUGAACGCACAAGGAAACAAAUGACGGAGGGGGAAGAAAGGAGAAGGAAUAUAUGUAUUUGCAGCGCGGAAUUAAACAGGUGCGAUCAUACCAGAACUAAAGCUCCGGAUCCCAUCAGAAUUCCGCAGUUAGGUGUGCUUGGGCGAGAGUAGUACUCGGAUGGGUGACCACUUGGGAAGCCCUCGUGUUGCACCUUUUUUUUCUCGGAUGGGUUGUUCAACGUUACGCGCGAGUGGAAUUAUAAACCGCUGGUUCAUUUGCAAAGGUGAGUCACGGUGCCGGGGCAUAUUAUUUGAUAUUAGAACGAGAAAGAGAGGUGCAGAGUGCACGCACAAGGAAACAAAUGACGGGUGGGGGGAUGGGAGGAGAAAGAGUGUAUGUAUUUGCAGUGCAGAAUGAAACAUGAGGGAUCAUACCAGCACUAAUGCAACGGAUUCUAUCAGAACUCCGCAGUUAAGGGUGCUUGGGCGAGAAAAGUACUCGGAUGGGUGACCUCCUGCGAAGUCCUUAUAUUUCAUCCAUUUUCUUGCGAGGUCCUCGUGUUGCACCCAUCUUUUUGCAGAUGAUUCUUUCGACGUUACGCGCGACUUGAUUUAUGGUCCGCAGGUUUAUUCGCAAAUGUGAGUCACGGCGCCGUGGCAUUUUACUUGAUAUUAGAACGAGUACGGGAGGUGCUGUGCACACGCACAAGGAAACAAAUAACGGGAGGAGGAAGAAAAGAGAAGGAGUGUAUGUAUUUGAAGCACAAAAUUAAACAAGUGGCAUCAUACCAGCACUAAUGUACUGGAUCCCAUCAGAACUCUGCAGUUAAGGGUGCUUGGGCGAGAGUAGUACUCGGAUGGGUGACCUCUUGGGAAGUCCUCGUAUCGCAAUAAUUUUUUUUCAGAUGGGUCGUUCGACAUUACGCGGGACUGGAACUAUGGUCCGCUGGUUUAUACGCAAAUGUGAGUCAAGAAUCAGGGGCAUUUUAAUCGAUAUUCGAACGAGAAGGAGAGGUGUAGUGUGAACGCACAAGGAAACAAAUGAUGAGAGGGGGGGAGGGAAGAAGGAGUGUAUGUAUUUUCAGCACGAAAUUAAACAGGUGCGGUCACACCAGCACUAAUGCACCGGAUCCCAUCAGAACUCCGCAGUUAAGUGUGCUUUGGGGAAAGUAGUACAAUGAUGGGUUACCUCCUGGGAAAUUCUCAUGUUGCACCCAUUUUCUUUUUUUCAGAUGUGCCGUUCGACGUUACGCGCGACUUUAAUUAUGGUCCGCACAUUUAUUCGCAAAUGUGAGUUACGGCGCCGUGGCAUUUUACUUGAUAUUUGAACGAGAACGAGAGGUGCAGUGCGCACGCACAAGGAAACAAAGGACGGGAGGGGGAAGAAAGGAGAAGGAGUUUGUGUAUUUGCAGCGCAGAAUGAAACAUGAGCAAUCAUACCAGCACCAAUGCAACGGAUUCUGUCAGAACUCCGCAAGUUAAGGGUGCUUAGGCGAGAGUAGCACUAGGAUGGGUGACCUCCUGCAAAGUCCUUAUAUUUCACCAAUUUUCUUAGGAACUCCUCGUGUUGCACCCAUUUUUUUGCAGAUGAUUCUUUCGACGAUACGCGCGACUUGAAUUAUGGUCCACAGGUUUAUUCGCAAAUGUGAGUCACGGCACCGUAGCAUUUUACUUGAUAUUAGAACGAGCACGGGAGGUGCAGUGCCCACGCACAAGGAAACAAAUGACGGGAGGCGGAAGAAAGGAGAAAGAGUUUAUGUAUUUACAGUGUAGAAUUAAACCGGUGCGAUCAUACCAGCACUAAUGCACCGGAUCCCAUCAGAGCUCGGCAGUUAAGUGUGCUUGGGAGAGAGUAGUACUCGGAUGGGUGAUCUCUUGGGAAGUCCUUGUGUCGCACCAAUUUUUUUUCAGACGGGUCGUUCGACGUUACGCGCGACUAGAACUGGGGUCCGCUGGUUUAUACGCAAUUGUGAGUCAAGAAGCAGGGGCAUUUUAAUCGAUAUUAGAACGAGAAGGAGAGGUGCAGUGUGAACGCACAAGGAAACAAUUGAUGGGAGGGGGAGGGAAGGAGAAGGAGUGUAUGUAUUUUCAGCACGAAAUGAAACAGGUGCGAUCAUAUCAGCACUAAUGGAACGGAUUCUAUCA